RNA transcript from Gopherus evgoodei (Goodes thornscrub tortoise), 2476 nucleotides. It is a transcript of the gene named chromosome 12 C19orf12 homolog, with no coding region annotated. NCBI's taxonomy places the organism in Eukaryota, Metazoa, Chordata, Testudines, Testudinidae. The transcript has 6 exons. The record is from RefSeq and is a predicted model, not a curated record.
GGCCGGCUCCUAGUGGCGGCGCCGCUCGCACGGGGCCAUUCCCGCAACUGAAACCUCCCGGGCUCUUCCGAGUCCUGGCCCGCCGCCUGCCAGCCUCGCGACUCUGCGCACCAAGGGCCCUAACUAGCCAAGAUGCCGAUCGACGUUAAUGAUGUGAUACACCUAUUGUGCCGUAUCUCUGAGGAGAGGAAGAUGAAGGCUGCUAUCAAGCAUGCUGGACAAGGAGCGCUAGUAGCGGGUGCAACAGCAUUUCUCGGGGGUUUAAUGGGGGGUCCACCUGGAAUAGCUAUAGGGGGUGCAGUUGGUGGUUUAUUUGGUGCUUGGAUGUCUGCUGGACAGUUUAAGCCAGUCCCUCAGAUUAUACUGGAACUGCCUCCUGCUGAGCAGCAGAAGCUCUAUGAUGAUGCCGUAGCUAUUAUCAGGAACUUAGACUGGACUGAUGCUGCACAGUUGACUGCACUUGUAAUGGGAAAUGCCGCCCUCCAACAGAAGUUGGCAGCAGUGUUAAUAAACUAUCUUUCACAUGAGCUAAGAGCAGAAAUACGUGUAUUUCACACAGAAGUUCCACAUCUUGAAAGAAGUUAUGGCAAGUUAAUCAUGCAAAUUGGGCUGAGUCAACCCGAUGAACACUUACAGGUUUAAAGAACAAGGAUACUGGAGGUGACCUUUGCUGCAGCUCGCCAAUAAGGGCACCUAGCUCGCAACCCUGAUACUGCUUCCCUCAGAUGUCAACAUUUUUUAAGAGCUGAAGUUCUGCCAGUCUUGCGCUAUGGAGCUCGCAGAGAGGAGUGUGGAUUCUAUCUUAAAGGAUAUUUUCAGAAAAGCAGCACUGCAGUGCUCAUGACACAUCCCAGCCUUGGAGGAGAAGUCCCCUCUUCCCGACAGAGGAAGUAUAGCACAGGCAGUAGCAGCACAAGCUACCCCAUCAAUGGGCCUCUACUAUCAACAAAAGGGUCCACCCCCAGAUCUGGAGUCUUGCCUACUUUUGGACACGUACAAGAAAACCUUAGGAGAGGAGCUUUGAGCACAAAGGAGAUAAAGAAGGCAACGAUACACAGCCAAAUGAGAAACAACAGAGGAGAGACUGAAACAAGGGCAGAUUGGUGUGGGGGAAUUCAGGGUAUAAGAAAAUACAGCAGAUAAUUUUGGGAUAAUCAGUGCAGAACUGAAAAGGUUUUACACAGACUCUUGAUCCUGCUUAUGGCAAUCUCACCAUAUGGUAGUACAAGAGCUUGACUCCUGGGUUCUAUUCCCAGCUCUGCUACUGACUCACCAUGUGAUCACCUCCUCUCUUUCCCAUGUUACUUAUCUGUAUAAUGGGUAAAAUAAGCCUUAGCUCUCACAGAGGGGCUCUGUGAGACUAUUAGGGUAUAAAGUGCUUUAAGAAGGGUGGAGUAUGUGUAGUGUGUUUAGCAUCUAAAGGUGGAGCAGGGUUCAGGACAAUGCCCUGGUGAGAAUUCUACCAUGCCCCAUUCUGUCCCAGAUGUUGACGGGUUAGUUGGCUUCUCAUUAGGCACUGGUACUGGACAGUGGAAUUACAACCUUCCACAUUAGUCUGUGAUUUUUAGGGUAAUCCUCUAUUUUAGAAGAAUAGUAAAGUUUUGUAGUGAGUGGAAGCGACUGGAUAGUCAGGAAAAAGAGAGAGGGAGAAUUCUAUAUACUUCCUACACUUCUAAAUAAACUGACAACAUAAUCCCAGAUUAAGGAUAUGCCGCCAAAAGACACAAGGUAAAAUUUUCAUAAGCACCUUACUGCAAGUCAGUGGGACUUAGGCUUCUAAAUCAUUUAGGACAAUUUUUAACUAUCAUGCUUAUUUUGGCUCUUAGGCACAGAACACUUGCAAAUUUUUUUUUACACCAGAACAAUGGGACAAACAGACUGGGUAUAAACACCCUUUCCACUCUCAAAUGAGAGAGAAACUAAGGGAACUACCUGUCUAGUGGCAUACGUGGAUCUGGAGAUUAUAUUCUUGUACCCCAGUACCCUAACCUGUUACUUUUUUUGAAAGUAGAACCAUGAAUUACCCAAGGAAAGAAAAAAAAUCCUCCAAACCAUUGCUUGUUAGUAUGUUGCCAGUAUGGGGUCAGAUGGGCAAAACAGUUUUAUUACACAUUCCUGCUAUCCCAUGAUCCCACCCAUGGAUUUCUGCCUCUCUGGUAAAAUUUGCUCUGAUUUAAUCAGUUCAAAAAGAUAAGAAAAGUUCACUUGCCACCUUAUUCCCCAAGGAAUAAAUGGCUUAUUAAAGUGAGUGUGUACUUCUCAGAUAAACUGUAAGUUACCAUCAGGCUGCAAAACGAAUUUUACUUUAAUAACACUGUGAUUCAUUUAAAAUGUUAUUUAGUUUUCUGUACAAAUGGAAGGCACUGCAUGAAUUUAGGGAUUUUCUUUUUUUUACUAGUAAAUAAAACAGACUUCUGGGAAUAUGCAAUAUUGUAUUUUUUUCCUCCCAUCAAUGAAGUGAGACACCAUAAUUUAG